RNAcentral lists this ribosomal RNA (1170 nucleotides) under Triticum aestivum (bread wheat). Its description in RNAcentral is "partial small subunit ribosomal RNA". Lineage: Eukaryota; Viridiplantae; Streptophyta; Magnoliopsida; Poales; Poaceae. The record is from RNAcentral.
AUGACGAACGAUGUCAAUCUCAUGUACCAAAAGUACAUUGCCGAGUUGGACACGAUUACGCCUGAGCAGGUGGAAUGGCAGCCAUAUGGCGCGGGUGAGAGCUUGGGGUACACCGCGGACUUCCGCCUCAACCCGAUGUGCUUGCGGGAUAAGGAUCUCUGGCUUAUGCGGUGCCCACUGAUAUGCAACUGGGCGGUUGAGUUUCAUUUGCCGCAUCGCGUGUAUCGUCAGUUUGGUCUUUUCCAGCCUCACCCGCCGGAUUGGGUGGACACGGAUAAAGCACUUCAUAGGCUGGAUAGGAGAAGGCAACGGAAGAUAAAGGACUGGGCCAAGCAUCAUUCUGCGUAUGUUACCCGCUUCCAGCUUUGUGUGGAGCAAGCUUGUAGCACUGCACGCGCCCCGCUUCGUGAGCACAACUCACUUGCUUUUGAUAACUACGUACGAUGGUUUAUUGGAACUACUCGAGUUGAGAUAUGCCCGCCGGCAUAUAAUGAGGAUAUUCUUGAAGAACCCGUAAACUUUGAGGAUCUAGCAAAGGGGAAGUACAACAGAGAUGUCAGGCUAGGGCAAGGAGUCCAUGCUGUUCCGGUGAUUAACUAUGUGCGCACCGAGAUCAAGAAAGCAGCUGAUGAGAGCCAGUCUAUUCUGGAGAAGACACCGGUUGGAACUGGCAAUGAUGAUGGUUCACUACGAGCAUUCCUCAAGCGUCAGGCCAAGAAGUUAAGGCGGUUAUCGAUCCUUCUCGGUUGCCGUGAUCCUGAAUAUGGUGAACCAUCUGCCUCUAGGUCUGGUACACCAUCAGACCCCGCACCUCACCAUGAGGGGGACGAUGUGAGUUCCACAUAUGCUUAUAUGGAUGAUGAGGGUGGGAUCACCCAAGAGGACGAUGAGCUUGAUGAUGACAUGACUUUGGCGGACGCUCAAGCUCGGUCCGCAUAUGUGUUCAAGCCUAGGCAGCCCAGACGCCGGUACACGCCCAACGACUAUGACAACAUAGGCAACCCAAAGGUGGUCGUAGGGACCUCGCGGAUGGCUAGCUUGGAUGAUGAGGCGGAGAAGGAGGCGGAGGCGGAGGCGGAGGAGGAAGUGCACGAAGAGGAUCCUCGUGCUCCUAAGAAGAAGAAGCUUGCCUGCAGGCGUGCCACCAGGAACACGCGCGAAAGGCAUUAG